Molecule: ribosomal RNA, 342 nt
Filed under: uncultured bacterium
Lineage: Bacteria
Description: bacterial SSU rRNA
Rfam family: Bacterial small subunit ribosomal RNA
Source: RNAcentral
AUUGAACGCUGGCGGCAGGCCUAACACAUGCAAGUCGAGCGGUAGAGAGAAGCUUGCUUCUCUUGAGAGCGGCGGACGGGUGAGUAAUGCCUAGGAAUCUGCCUGGUAGUGGGGGAUAACGUUCGGAAACGGACGCUAAUACCGCAUACGUCCUACGGGAGAAAGCAGGGGACCUUCGGGCCUUGCGCUAUCAGAUGAGCCUAGGUCGGAUUAGCUAGUUGGUGAGGUAAUGGCUCACCAAGGCGACGAUCCGUAACUGGUCUGAGAGGAUGGUCAGUCACACUGGAACUGAGACACGGUCCAGACUCCUACGGGAGGCAGCAGUGGGAAGUAUUGGACAAU